RNAcentral lists this ribosomal RNA (2982 nucleotides) under Corynebacterium pseudotuberculosis. RNAcentral's name for it is "bacterial LSU rRNA". It matches the Rfam family "Bacterial large subunit ribosomal RNA". Lineage: Bacteria; Bacillati; Actinomycetota; Actinomycetes; Mycobacteriales; Corynebacteriaceae. The record is from RNAcentral.
GUGUUGUUUUUUAAGGGCACACGGUGGAUGCCUUGGCAUUAUGAGCCGAUGAAGGACGUGUAAGGCCGCGAUAGGCCUCGGGGAGUUGCCAAUAGAGCGUUGAUCCGAGGGUGUCCGAAUGGGGAAACCUGGCUGCAGUUAUGUGUGGUUACCCUUCAGUGAAUUCAUAGCUGUUGUGGGGGUUUACGCGGGGAAGUGAAACAUCUCAGUACCCGUAGGAGAAGAAAACAAUUGUGAUUCCGUUAGUAGUGGCGAACGAACGUGGAUGAGGCUAAACCAUGUGCGUGUGAUACCUGGCAGGGGUUGCGUGUGUGGUGUUGUGGGGUGUGUGCGUGAAAAGGCUGCCAUCUUUUUGCUGGUUUGUGCAUGUGUUAGCGGAAGUGGUGUGGGAACGCCUGCCGUAGAAGGUGAGAGUCCUGUACGUGAAAGCAUGUGUGCGCUGGUUGUGCAUGUCCCCGAGUAGCAGCGGGCUCGUGGAAUCUGCUGUGAAUCUGCCGGGACCACCCGGUAAGCCUAAAUACUUGUGAUGACCGAUAGCGGAUGAGUACCGUGAGGGAAUGGUGAAAAGUACCCCGGGAGGGGAGUGAAAUAGUACCUGAAACCGUGUGCUUACAAUCCGUCAGAGCCUUUUUUGGGGUGAUGGCGUGCCUUUUGAAGAAUGAGCCUGCGAGUCAGCGGCAUGUCGCGAGGUUAACCUUUUGGUGGGUAGCCGUAGCGAAAGCGAAUCCUAACGAGGGUGUUGUUAGUGGCAUGUCCUGGACCCGAAGCGGGGUGAUCUACCCAUGGCCAGUGUGAAGCAGAGGUAAGACUUUGUGGAGGCGCGAACCCACUUAGGUUGAAAACUGAGGGGAUGAGCUGUGGGUAGGGGUGAAAGGCCAAUCAAACUCCGUGAUAGCUGGUUCUCCCCGAAAUGCAUUUAGGUGCAGCGUUGCGUGUUUCUUGCUGGAGGUAGAGCUACUGGUUGGUUGAGGCCCCUAAGGGUGUACUAAGUGAGGAAAGGAUGUGGGAUCGCGAAGACAGCCAGGAGGUUGGACUUAGAAGCAGCCAUCCUUGAAAGAGUGCGUAAUAGCUCACUGGUCGAGUGGUUCUGCGCCGACAAUGUAGUGGGGCUCAAGUACACCGCCGAAGCCGCGGCAGUCAACUUUUUUGUUGGGUUGGGUAGGGGAGCGUCGUGCAUGUGGUGAAGCAUUUGGGUGACCGGGUGUGGAGUGUGUGCGAGUGAGAAUGCAGGCAUGAGUAACGAAUGAAAAGUGGAAAACUUUUCGCCGGAUGACUAAGGGUUCCUGGGUUAAGCUAAUCUUCCCAGGGUGAGUCGGGACCUAAGGCGAGGCCGACAGGCGUAGUCGAUGGAUAACCAGUUGAUAUUCUGGUACCCGUGGUGAUGCGACAAGUGGUGAAUCAGUGGUACUAACCGCCCAUUAAUUGCAUGUGUUCAUACUUUGUGUGGGUGUGUGUGGUUGUGCGUGGGACCUUCGUUGGUAGUAGCCAAGUGAUGGGGUGACGCAGUGAGGUAGCCGAGCCACUUAUUGGAUUGUGGUGUAAGCGUGUGGCCCGUGGCAUAGGUAAAUCCGUGCUGCAUUGUAAGGGUGAGGCGUGAUGCGUACCCUUUUUUGGGGAUGUUGGUGAUCCUGUACUGUCGAGAAAAGCCUCUAGCGAGUGUCAUUAUGGCCCGUACCCUAAACCGACACAGGUGGUCAGGUAGAGAAUACUAAGGCGAUCGGGUGAACUGUGGUUAAGGAACUCGGCAAAAUGCCCCCGUAACUUCGGGAGAAGGGGGACCAUUGUUGGUGACAGACUGAUGGAGCUGAUGGUGGUCGCAGAGAAUAGAGGGAAGCGACUGUUUAUUAAAAACACAGGUCCGUGCGAAAACGUGGAAGUUGAUGUAUACGGACUGACGCCUGCCCGGUGCUGGAAGGUUAAGAGGACCUGUUAGAUCUCUUUUGGGGGUCGAAGCGGAGAAUUUAAGCCCCAGUAAACGGCGGUGGUAACUAUAACCAUCCUAAGGUAGCGAAAUUCCUUGUCGGGUAAGUUCCGACCUGCACGAAUGGCGUAACGACUUCCCUGCUGUCUCAACCACAGGCCCGGUGAAAUUGCAGUACGAGUAAAGAUGCUCGUUACGCGCGGCAGGACGAAAAGACCCCGGGACCUUCACUAUAGCUUGGUAUUGGUGUUUGGUUCGGUUUGUGUAGGAUAGGUGGGAGACUGUGAUACUGCGCCGCUAGGUGUGGUGGAGUCGCAAGUUGAAAUACCACUCUGAUCGGAUUGAGCACCUUAACCUUGGCCCAUGAUCUGGGUUGGGGACAGUGCCUGGUGGGUAGUUUAACUGGGGCGGUUGCCUCCUAAAAUGUAACGGAGGCGCCCAAAGGUUCCCUCAGCCUGGUUGGCAAUCAGGUGGUGAGUGUAAGUGCACAAGGGAGCUUGACUGUGAGACUGACAGGUCGAGCAGGGACGAAAGUCGGGACUAGUGAUCCGGCACCUACUUGUGGAAGUGGUGUCGCUCAACGGAUAAAAGGUACCCCGGGGAUAACAGGCUGAUCUUCCCCAAGAGUCCAUAUCGACGGAUGGUUUGGCACCUCGAUGUCGGCUCGUCGCAUCCUGGGGCUGGAGUAGGUCCCAAGGGUUGGGCUGUUCGCCCAUUAAAGCGGCACGCGAGCUGGGUUUAGAACGUCGUGAGACAGUUCGGUCUCUAUCCGCCGUGCGCGUUGAAACUUGAAGAAGGCUGUCCCUAGUACGAGAGGACCGGGACGGACGUACCUCUAGUGUGCCAGUUGUCACGCCAGUGGCAGGGCUGGUUGGCUACGUACGGAAGGGAUAACCGCUGAAAGCAUCUAAGCGGGAAGCCUGUUUUAAGAUGAGGUUUCUUUUGAGGUUCCCUCGAGACGAGGGGGUUGAUAGGCCAGAUCUGGAAGAGUGGUAACACUUGGAGGUGACUGGUACUAAUUUACCGAUAAACAACCAUAUGUUGUGUGUGGAUGUGUUGUG